This 253-nucleotide ribosomal RNA is filed under the name uncultured bacterium. RNAcentral describes it as "partial 16S ribosomal RNA". It matches the Rfam family "Bacterial small subunit ribosomal RNA", at positions 524 to 776 of the family's 1533-position model. The record is from RNAcentral.
GACGAACCGUGCGAACGUUGUUCGGAAUAACUGGGCAUAAAGGGCGCGUAGGCGGGCCCGCCAGUCAGGGGUGAAAGCCCGCGGCUCAACCGCGGAAGCGCCUCUGAUACUGCGGGCCUGGAGGGAGGCAGGGGAGUGCGGAACUUCCGGUGGAGCGGUGAAAUGCGUAGAUAUCGGAAGGAACACCGGUGGCGAAAGCGGCGCUCUGGACCUCUACUGACGCUGAGGCGCGAAAGCCAGGGGAGCAAACGGG